This 579-nucleotide long non-coding RNA is filed under the name Homo sapiens (human). Its description in RNAcentral is "HSALNT0358859". The record is from RNAcentral. Lineage: Eukaryota; Metazoa; Chordata; Mammalia; Primates; Hominidae.
ACCUUGGAUCAGGGACAGGAUACAGCCUCUCUUAAUUUUUUGGGUGGAAUGUGUCAUGUGCCUACACCAGAGACAAUGCAGUUGCCUUGGAAUUUCUGUAGCUUGCCUUUGGCCCUAGUGCCAUGGAGACCAGACUUCAAACUGCUGAGCUCCACAUUCUGCCCUGAUGGAGCUGGGCUUGGUGCCCAGUAAAAGUACAGAGGAUCCUUGUGCCAUGACUGUUUGGCCAGCCCUAGUGCCAGGGGGCUGUCUGGCAGUGCUCAUAGUUCUCUGGAGUGCAGCCAGGAUCUGCCAGGCAGUCUGACUCCAUCCAGAAGCUUCUCAACCAGAUGAAGAAGUGAUGUCUGUGAUCUGCUUUGGGGAGGGACUUCUCAAGUAACUGUGACUUAAAAUAUACCCUGCCUGACUCAGAGGGGCACUGUCAUCUUGGAAUUCAAAGUAAAUCAACAGUCUGUCACCUAAAUGGAACAGAAACUAUGUUGCAUUUUGGUGAUGGAGCAGGUUAAUGCAUUUGACCCUAGGUCAGUCCUCACUCUCUGGAAUUCUGAAGCUGUAUUGGAUUCUGGAAGGCAUGCUGGG